Molecule: long non-coding RNA, 365 nt
Organism: Cercocebus atys (sooty mangabey)
Lineage: Eukaryota; Metazoa; Chordata; Mammalia; Primates; Cercopithecidae
Exons: 2
Source: RefSeq, a predicted model, not a curated record
GGGCCUUAUUUUAGGGUGAAGCCCGGGCACCCGACCCGGCUGCGCCGUAGUGGAAGGCCACGGCGAUUAUUCAGAUGAAGGUCUUCCAGGACCCACUGGCUGAUGAUGGCUUCACUGGACCUGCCAACUACUCCUAGAGUCCCACCCAGAAGUGACUCAGCAAAGGAGGGUCCUGUCUCACCUUACGAUGGCCCCCCCAACCGGCUAGCAGCAAGCACCACAACCAGCCAGCAGCAAGCACCACUGCCCGGCUACCCUACCCUUUCCCCCAAACGACCUUUGGAAAACCCGUCCCUGAGUUCUUGGGGAGACUGAUUUCAGUAAUAAUCACUUGUCCGUGUGAAUUAAACCCUUUCUCUAUUGCA